This 845-nucleotide ribosomal RNA is filed under the name uncultured bacterium. Its description in RNAcentral is "bacterial SSU rRNA". It matches the Rfam family "Bacterial small subunit ribosomal RNA", at positions 8 to 807 of the family's 1533-position model. The record is from RNAcentral.
AGAGUUUGAUCCUGGCUCAGGAUGAACGCUGGCGGCGUGCCUAAUACAUGCAAGUCGAACGAGUUCUGAUUAUUGAAAGGUGCUUGCAUCUUGAUUUAAUUUUGAACGAGUGGCGGACGGGUGAGUAACACGUAAACAACCUGCCUUAAGGAUGGGGAUAACAGACGGAAACGACUGCUAAUACCGAAUACGUUCUAAGCAUCGCAUGGUGCAUAGAAGAAAGGGUGGCCUCUACAAGAAAGCUAUCGCCUUAAGAGGGGUUUGCGACUGAUUAGGUAGUUGGUGAGGUAACGGCUCACCAAGCCGACGAUCAGUAGCCGGUCUGAGAGGAUGAACGGCCACACUGGAACUGAGACACGGUCCAGACUCCUACGGGAGGCAGCAGUGGGGAAUCUUCCGCAAUGGACGAAAGUCUGACGGAGCAACGCCGCGUGAACGAAGAAGGUCUUCGGAUUGUAAAGUUCUGUGAUUCGGGACGAAAGGGUUUGUGGUGAAUAAUCAUAGACAUUGACGGUACCGAAAAAGCAAGCCACGGCUAACUACGUGCCAGCAGCCGCGGUAAUACGUAGGUGGCAAGCGUUGUCCGGAAUUAUUGGGCGUAAAGCGCGCGCAGGCGGUUUCUUAAGUCCAUCUUAAAAGCGUGGGGCUCAACCCCAUGAGGGGAUGGAAACUGGGAAGCUGGAGUAUCGGAGAGGAAAGUGGAAUUCCUAGUGUAGCGGUGAAAUGCGUAGAGAUUAGGAAGAACACCGGUGGCGAAGGCGACUUUCUAGACGAAAACUGACGCUGAGGCGCGAAAGCGUGGGGAGCAAACAGGAUUAGAUACCCUGGUAGUCCACGCCGUAAAC